Brienomyrus brachyistius is the source of this 595-nucleotide long non-coding RNA. RefSeq lists it as uncharacterized. The record is from RefSeq and is a predicted model, not a curated record. NCBI's taxonomy places the organism in Eukaryota, Metazoa, Chordata, Actinopteri, Osteoglossiformes, Mormyridae. The transcript has 3 exons.
UGGGCAGAUCAAGGCCAUCACCCAGGCAAACCCAUUGAGGAAGCCCACCAUCCUUUUCGUCAUUAGCGUAGGGUACCAGAGUGGGAAACAGAUAGCCACGUAGCGGUCCAGUGCCAUAAUCAGCAUGAUGAGAGAGGAGGUGCUGGACAAAAAGCAGGACACACCUGGACUGGAAUGCGAGUUCAUCGCUGUGCCCUAAGUCAUCACACUGACACCCAGUCACAGUCAGAUGCUUACGUGCAGGGUACCUGAGUGGGAAGCAGAUAGCAGUGUAGCGGUCCAGUGCCAUAAUCAGCAUGAUGAGAGAGGUUAGGGUUCCAAAGUAAUGUACCAUCUGCUUCUGAAACAGGCAGACGUGGAACGAGAUGGUUCCAUCGUCAAACCAGUACCUGGCUAUGACCUUUGGCAGUGCCACAGUGCAGAAGCCAAUGUCGGAGAGGGCGAGGCUCACCAUGAUGAUGUACAUGGGCUUCUGGAGGCUGGGCUGUAGCACAAAGAGCACCACAAGGAGGCAAUUUUCUGCCACUGCCGUUACAUAGAUGAUGAAAAAGCCAGUGGCCAUUAAACUGUAAUAUUUUGAAUCCAUCCCAGGAAA